Molecule: unclassified non-coding RNA, 240 nt
Filed under: soil metagenome
Description: partial contains 5.8S ribosomal RNA, internal transcribed spacer 2, and large subunit ribosomal RNA
Source: RNAcentral
AACCAUAGAAACCUGCGGAGUACCUGCGGAGGGAUCAUUAUCGAGUGCGAACCCCCUCGUAAAAAAGGGGGUUUCCUCCGGUCCUUUGCUGGACACCCCCUUCUGAUAAAGAGGGGGUUGUUUUCAGACCUUCUGCUUCGGCGGGGUUACCUGCCGGAACAAACUCAAAAAUUCUUGGUCAAACAGUUCAGUCCGAGGACUUUUUUAAAAGCGAAAAACUUUCAACAACGGAUCUCAGAU